RNAcentral lists this ribosomal RNA (747 nucleotides) under uncultured bacterium. RNAcentral's name for it is "bacterial SSU rRNA". It matches the Rfam family "Bacterial small subunit ribosomal RNA", at positions 8 to 795 of the family's 1533-position model. The record is from RNAcentral.
AGAGUUUGAUCCUGGCUCAGGAUGAAUGCUGGCGAUGUGGAUAAGGCAUGCAAGUCGAGCGGCUCGCAAGAGCAGCGGCGUAAGGGUUAGUAACGCGUAGAUAUCAACCCUCUACUCAGGCACAACUUGGAGAAAUCCAAGCUAAUUCCUGAUGGUCCGAGAAAUCGGUAAAGGUUUAUUCCGGUAGAGGAUGAGUCUGCGUCCUAUCAGCUAGUUGGUGAGGUAAUGGCUCACCAAGGCAAUGACGGGUAGGCGGAGUGAGAGCUUGUCCGCCAACAAUGGCACUGAGACACGGGCCAUACUCCUACGGGAGGCAGCAGUCGAGAAUAUUGCGCAAUGGGCGAAAGCCUGACGCAGCGACAUCGCGUGAAGGAUGAAGAUCUUCGGUUUGUAAACUUCUUUUCUAUGGGAAAAAUUUUCUGAUGGUACCAUAGGAAUAAGGGAUGACUAAACUCGUGCCAGCAGUAGCGGUAAUACGAGUGUCCCGAGCAUUAUCCGGAUUUACUGGGCGUAAAGGGUUCGUAAGUGGUUUAUUAAGUUUCUCGUUAAAUCUCUAGAGCUUAACCUUAGAGCUGCGAGGAAAACUGAUAAACUAGAGGAUGUUAGAGGCUGAUGGAACACUUGGUGGAGGGGUGAAAUCCGUUGAUAUCAAGUGGAACACCGAAAGCGAAGGCAAUCAGCUGGGGCAGUCCUGACACUGAGGAACGAAAGCGUGGGGAGAGAAAAGGAUUAGAUACCCUGGUAGUC